CAUGUCUGAGGAGGAGCCGGGCCUGAGGAGGAGCAGCAUGGCACAAAGAGGGAGAAACCACGGGCAGCGGAGCUCCCACAGGUCACCACCAACAAAUCAUGUUGUAAUCAUGUGUCCUCACACCAAGCAGCACUUGUGAGCCCAGGAGGCUGCAGGUUUUCCAUGCAGGAGAGCAGCAGGCACACGGCUGCACACAGGCAGCAGCAGUUUGAUUUUCUUAUCACUUCUAGACUGAGCUAGCAUCUCUAUCAGACACGUCAGGCCUGAAAGCCAUCUCCCCAGCACUAAUGCACCAGUAUUGAUUCAUCCCAUCCUUUCUGACCAGUGAGGAAUUGAGGACAGAUCAUUUUUUUUCCUACUCUGAAAUUUUGGCUGGAGCCCUAAGCCCACAUCUGCUUUCAGUAAUACAAAUGUACACCAGAGUUCUCCUCGAGCUGAUGGCUCCCUUCCAGAUUUACAUAGACUGUGACCAGAAACUGGUACAUGGAGAACUUCUCCCAGGCUUUCUGAUUUUAAAGUAAUUCAAAACAAACUAAAUUAUAUUAUCCUAAAUUAUUCCAACCUUUUAAUCUGAAGCUAGAGCUUUCCAUUCUCUGAUAUUUCUUCUCUUUCUCUUUGGGAAGUUUAGUGCUGCUGGAGCAGUAUGUGGCACAUUACACUCAGGGGGGCAAAUGCUUCUCUCAUUUGUAAUUCCUUAAGUUUAGAGAGAUGCCAGAGGAAUCAGAAAAAAUAUUUUCCAGUAAGAAUGUGGGGAAAGCAGAUCAGUAUUGACUUGAACCAAUUUCUUGAGGGAUCUGCCACAGUGCUGUGUUUAUACUCUGCUUAGCAAAACAAAUCUUUUCCCAUGAACACAAUGGAAACUGUAUUGGAAAAUAAAAUCCUCUGAGUCUUCCUCAUGAAAGUAAAAGAGGCAUUUCCAAACCUCCAGCCUACACACAGAGUGAAAACAAAGCUGAAAAGACCAAACCAUUCCUGAUACUAUUUUUCUGGAAGUCCUGUGUCAGUCUGCAACACGGCUUCCAAAGCAGAAGAAAUUGGAUAUUUCUCAUUUAAAUAAAGAGAAACUUCCUGCCUUUUGCCCACUAAAAAUCUAAAGGAGAAAGAUAAUGAGGCAAACCCUUCAUCUCUCACAAUGUUAUGGCUCAGACAUUUCUGCUGAACAACACUUCCACUAACCCAGACAGUUCUUUGUGAAAACAUCACAUUCUUCUUAAAGGAAAAAAGCAUGAACCUCAGAUAUAAGCACAGGUAUGUCCAGUGGAGAUUAAAAGAUACUUCUUGGUCCCUAAAAUGAAAAAAAAAAAGAGAAAAAAAUGAAGACAGCACCUUUCCCUUGCCAUGUCAUUCCCCUUGGCUCGAGGUUGAUAACACAUCAGUAAUGCUGCAAGCGAGACAACAGGCUAAAUAAAAGUUACAGCUGUCAAAGUCCUGUCAGCAUCCUGGCUUUUCCAUUCCAAUUUCAUCAUUUCCCCACUGCAAGGAUCAAUUUCAAGAGGUGAAGGAACCAUAGCAAUCCUCCAUUAGCUCUUUGGUGUCACCCCAAAAAGAGAUCAAAUAAUCUCUUAAGGGGCAGGGGUUCUGCCUGCUGCUACCAGAGAGGAUGCGCUGUGCUGAGGUGCUCAGGUGAGGACAAUUUGCCAUCCCCAAAAGCAAGAAUGGGUUGACAAAGUUGGUUUUCUGCCGGGCAGAAUCACCAGAGCCUGAAGGACGUGCAGGGGAAAAAGGAAAUUGCUUUCUGUCGGAGACGAGGGAAAAAUUAUACUUGCGCCAAAAACUCAUUCAAGGAAGAGGCUGAAGCAAUAAAGUUGUUCCAGGAGACCCCAUUUUAUACACUCCAGCUACUGCCCAGAUGAGCACAAAAUAAAAUAAAGCAUAGAUUAUAUAUCCUGAGAUCUACUGACAAAAGCCAGCAGAGUCUAAAAUUAAUUCUCGGCAGCAGGAGUGAGUAAAUGAAAGAGGACGGACACCAUCAUAAUUUUAUCAAGGGAGGCUGAGUAAGGAUUCCUGGGCCGACUCUGCCACAUGGAAUAGAGAAGAUGUUUGAGUCUGACUUCUGUGUGAGCAGUCAGCUCUUGCCACUGGGGAUCUGCCCCUGUGGAGAGACAAGUCAGAAGGCUGCAUUGCUGGAUGGAUCCUUUGAAAACCCAUCCCAAGGGAGCAGCAUUCACAGCUCUAGGCUGCCAGCCUUCUGUGUGACUUCAGCCCCGUGAAUAAUGAUGGAUUCACCUCAUUCUCUCAAAGGAGAAAUAUUCAAGAUGCUGAAUUCCCCAGAGAGCUGCAAACUGCCAGGCCAGGAACAAUGUCAAACUUUGAGAAAUGUGGCAGGCGUGGCGCCAAAGCAGCAAAUCCAACUUCUGCAAGAGAAACUCCAUUCAAACUGGCCAGGAACCAAAAGAACCUUUCCAAAGGCGGAGACGGCGCGGUGACACCCGGCCUCACAGCUGCUGCCUGCUCCUCGCUGUUGGGUAAUAAUUUAUUUGUCACCUCCACGGCUGAUGGUGCAACUGUUGUAUUCCAGAAACAAUAGCUGCUUUAUUUAGAUAAGAAGGAAGAGAACAACAGAAAUUCUGGGUGCCAGCAGCAGGAUCAGACGUGCAGCUGCUGUGAGCUGGCUCUGGAGGAGCCAUGCCCAUCUGUGCUCACAUAAACAUUCUUGGAUGGGGUGUGGGACUGGUUCCCACUUCACACAAAAUGAGCUCCAGGGUCUUGGAUGGGUUAGAUAAACCCUCAACACAUCAGUUCCCAUCUGUAAACAGGCAUUCUGCAGCCUGUGGAAAUAUCACACACCAAAAAGGAGAGAUGCCACCACAGCAAGGGACUUGUUUGGCUCUUCCCCAGCUGCAAACUGGGAGUUGUUCUGCUCUAACAAGCAGCUCCUGGUGCAAAAAGGAUCUCCUUCGUGUCAAAGGUGAAAGAAAAUCCUUCCUAAAGGGAAUUUAACAAUCACUGGCUUUUCUGGAGUUUGAAUGAACUGGAAGUGUUAGAAGACAACUGAGCUGAGGUUUGUUUCCCACCAAACACAUGGAAGAGAUUGAAGUUUUAUGUGUUAAGUGUUGAGAAACCAAUUGAUAUUGUCUUUGUAAUCUGCUCAGGUUGCAGUAAUGAGAGAGGGUCACCAGCAAUCCUGAAAGGAGCUUAAAGAACAAGAUGUAAAAAUCAAACACGCUGUGUUUGUUCUCAUCAGCUCCUGAGAUCUUUGUUUCACCCUUAGGAUGGCACUUCUUUC
Molecule: long non-coding RNA, 3226 nt
Organism: Passer domesticus (house sparrow)
Lineage: Eukaryota; Metazoa; Chordata; Aves; Passeriformes; Passeridae
Exons: 4
Source: RefSeq, a predicted model, not a curated record